UCCGCCUUGGUGUAACGGCAGCACGCCGGCCUUUGGAGCCGUGCAGUCUAGGUUCGAAUCCUAGGGGCGGAA
Molecule: transfer RNA, 72 nt
Filed under: Kocuria rosea subsp. polaris
Lineage: Bacteria; Bacillati; Actinomycetota; Actinomycetes; Micrococcales; Micrococcaceae
Also listed under: 1 other name
Description: tRNA-Gln
Rfam family: tRNA
About the family: Transfer RNA (tRNA) molecules are approximately 80 nucleotides in length.
Source: RNAcentral